AUUGAACGCUGGCGGCAUGCCUUACACAUGCAAGUCGAACGGCAGCACGGGUGCUUGCACCUGGUGGCGAGUGGCGCACGGGUGAGUAAUACAUCGGAACAUGUCCUGUAGUGGGGGAUAGCCCGGCGAAAGCCGGAUUAAUACCGCAUACGAUCUACGGAUGAAAGCGGGGGACCUUCGGGCCUCGCGCUAUAGGGUUGGCCGAUGGCUGAUUAGCUAGUUGGUGGGGUAAAGGCCUACCAAGGCGACGAUCAGUAGCUGGUCUGGGAGGACGACCAGCCACACUGGGACUGAGACACGGCCCAGACUCCUACGGGAGGCAGCAGUGGGGAAUUUUGGACAAUGGGCGAAAGCCUGAUCCAGCAAUGCCGCGUGUGUGAAGAAGGCCUUCGGGUUGUAAAGCACUUUUGUCCGGAAAGAAAUCCUUGGCUCUAAUACAGUCGGGGGAUGACGGUACCGGAAGAAUAAGCACCGGCUAACUACGUG
Molecule: ribosomal RNA, 486 nt
Filed under: uncultured bacterium
Lineage: Bacteria
Description: partial 16S ribosomal RNA
Rfam family: Bacterial small subunit ribosomal RNA
Source: RNAcentral